AAUAAAACCAGGAGUUGUUAUGACAGAGAAACCGCCUGGAAUUGUUAAUCUAACAAAACGCUUUCCAUCAAUAUUUCACAGAUGGCAGAUUUGUCAAGCAGAAUUGCUUUGUUUUUGCUUUUUUUCCCCUAUGGAUUCAAGUUGCUUGAUGUCUUCCCUUUUUGCUGUUACUAAAAGCCUUGUUAACUCUGAGUAAAUGAGAAAAGGAUCUGUCUCUUGGGGGCUUUGCAGGGCCAGUCUUAUGACUGUGGAACUAUAAUGGUUUGUACUGAAAGAUGGUUGUUUUCAAAUGACUUCCAGCCAUGUGCUGAGGUUAUGGCUUUUAAAAGCCAAGUAUCUCAAGAAGCAUGCUGGGUUACAAAACAAAUCAGUGUUUCAUGUGUUUCUGCAGUAGAAAGAGAGGUCUGUGCUGCUAGGAGGCUUCGAGUGUGGAGCAAUUAUAGAUCUCUGGGUUAUUCUUAGAGGCGCUCCCCUUUAGUGUUCACUCAGGCUGCUGGUUCUCACACUGCAAGACCUCUGCUGACCGGGGACCAAGUUUCAGGCUGUGCUCUCUGGAUUCACAGCAUCAGACAUGAGUAAGUGUCACAGUGAGCUGACACAGCAGGAGCGGGGACUGUUGAAAGUUCGGCGGGACAGUGACACAAAGGCGGCUGAACUCGCCAAGAUGGAGAAAAUGCUGCAGCAGACCAAGAGCCUGAUGGAUAAGAAGACAGAGUCAGGUUCAGACAGUAUGGCCUUCCAGGAAAACUUAGUGGAGGACCUGGAGGAAAAGGUGAGAUCAAGCAGGCGCUACAGGAGAAACUCUCUUCAUCACACGCAGAUGCUGGAGAGCCAGAUGAAAACGGUGAAGGGAGAGCUGGUGGGCACUCUGGAUCACCUGCAAGAGCUGAGGAACGUCUUGAGACGUUCACAGCAGAAAGCAGAAGAACGAAAGGCUACAAUGGAGAAGCUAGCAGCAGGGCUCAGAUGAACCAAAUGGCUAAAGUCUACACAAGCGGGACAGAAGUGUCCACUUUCAGUCGCUGUGCAAGAAAACAACCUUCUACUUUUGGAAAUUUCAAUGACUAUAAACAAAAAUGUCGCAGAUCCUCCUGCAUGUCUUCAUGCAAGUGAGCUUUAUUUUUAAAAUCUUAAGUGUUUGAAGAGAAUUACUGGAUUGUGUCAGAAACACAAUAAAUUUGGACAAGUGUUGGAAUAAACUUUCAGCUAAGUGGUCCAGCUAUGGAGAACUGUGAUGGAGGUGUGUUGAUUGUGGUUAUAAAACGCACUCAUUGACUGUGUUGUGACUGUGUGUGAAUGCUUAAACAAUUCCUUGAAUUUUUCUAGUUUGAUGCAUUUAUAGAAUGAUUUGAUCUGUUACGGCAACACAUCGAAAUAUCUAAAUUUGGAGUUUCUGGAGCAAAAGAAAUAAUUUGAGUUUUUCUUUUUUCCAAAGUAAUUCAAGUUGCCCGGACACCGAAAUAGAAUAUAAUACAGAAAAACAUUGAACAUUUUUAAAUAAUUUAUUAUAAAAAAUGAAUAAAUGCAAAGCUAGCUUCAAAAGCCAGUGCAAAAAAUGAGGGUUUUAGUUUUAGAUAAAAAACAAGAAGAGCUGGACCGGCUCUAACAAUGGGAGGGAAAUCAUUCUAUACUGCAGGAAAUUGGAAACUUCAGAGGAAGCCAAUUUCCUUGGAGCCCAUAGAUGCAGAAGCUGAUAAAUAUAAUAAAGCUAAAACCACCUAAAGCCUUGAAAAUUCAGUGUCCAAACUAGCUGCUCUCUUUAGCUCAAUGAUCAGUUCCGCUGUGUAGUUCUGGGCUUUUUCCUCAUUGUUCUCGAGAUCAUUUGUGCUUCACCAGGUGAGAUUUUCCAUGGAGCUCCAGGUGGAGGGAGAUAAUCAAUGUUCUUGUAUUCAUUACACUUUCUAAUAAUUGCUCCAACAGUUGAUUUCUUCUCAACAAGCUGUUUGCUUAUAAUAGAUUGGUUCAUCCCAGUCUUGUCCCUGGUGUCAUUUCACAGCUUUUUGGUCUUAAUCGUGGCGGGGAAAUUAGAGUCUAAGGGUGUAGACAGAUGUAAUUUAAAGAGAUAACAGUUUAAACGAGUGACAUUAAUACUGGUAACUAGAGGAAGAUAACAGAACUUCUAAAAGAAGAAGCAGCAGGUCUGUGAGGAACAGAAUUUAUCCUUGUUUGAAGGAACUUUAUACUUAUUUUCUGCACCAUCAUACAAAUAAACUCUUCAAAAGUUAACACAAUGUGAUUUCUUGGAUUAUUUUUUUACAUUCUUUCUCUCACAGUUAGAGUAUGUCUAUCCUGAACAUUACAAACCAAACUCAUCUUUUUAAAGUGGUCAACUUGGGGACAUUUUUGCCCCGUCCGGGUCUUUGAAGUUGGUUUUACAAUUCUGUUUGUGUUUGCUCCCACCCCAUGCAGUAAUCUCUUUAAAAGACAGCAGGAACCUCAAAUAUUUUGGCUUUGGUCUGACUAGUCAAAUUAGCCAAUCAGAGGAGACCUAGCAUCAAGGGAGCGGAUACCGGAAGCUAAAACAUUUGUGAGAAGAAGGGAGGAGGAAAAGAUGUAUGAUUGUUUACUAAGUACAAUAAGUUUUCAACACAAAGAUGAAAGCUGUUGUGAAGGUGUAAAUGACUAAUAUUAGUCUUAAAAACCUAAUCAGUCACUGACCGGAGUGAAG
Oryzias sinensis (Chinese medaka) is the source of this 2668-nucleotide long non-coding RNA. The record is from Ensembl. Lineage: Eukaryota; Metazoa; Chordata; Actinopteri; Beloniformes; Adrianichthyidae.